RNAcentral lists this microRNA precursor (126 nucleotides) under Myotis davidii. Its description in RNAcentral is "mir-9193 microRNA precursor family". It matches the Rfam family "mir-9193 microRNA precursor family". Lineage: Eukaryota; Metazoa; Chordata; Mammalia; Chiroptera; Vespertilionidae. The record is from Rfam by way of RNAcentral.
CUUGUACCAGUGGGGUCCCUCAGCCUGGCCUGCGCCCUCUAGCAGUCCAGGACCCCUCAGGGGAUGUUGGAGAGCCAUUGUGGGCCUGAUCCUGCAGGCCAGGCUAAGGGACCCCACUGGUGCAUG